CUCUUUUGUUUUUACACCUACAUGGCAUCCGUUAGCCUGUUAUAGAAAAGAGCAGAACAUCUGAACUGUACAUUCAGACCACAGUCCUACUGUACCUACCUACAGAUCAUGGAAAAUCUGUUAACUUAGUAUUUCUCCAGCAGGGUUUCUCAAGGAGAAAGCAUCAAUUUUUAAGUAAAAAUAAUAAAACAAAAACCGAGUCAAGACCGAGAUCAGGAGGGGGAUGAGAAGUCCGAGACCGUGUCAAGACCGAGACCAGGAGGGGGAUGAGAAGUCCGAGACCGUGUCAAGACCGAGACCAGGAGGGGGAUGAGAAGUCCGAGACCGUGUCAAGACCGAGACCAGGAGGGGGAUGAGAAGUCCGAGACCGUGUCAAGACCGAGACCAGGAGGGGGAUGAGAAGUCCGAGACCGUGUCAAGACCGAGACCAGGAGGGGGAUGAGAAGUCCGAGACCGUGUCAAGACCGAGACCAGAAAAAUGCAAGUCCAAUUCAAGACCAUGACUGUAAUUUUGUCAAAUCGUCACCAUAAGAGUUAAAAAUGUCCAGUAUUUCUGUGUUCAUAUUUCAGAAGAACAUUUGGAUUCUUUGGACAUUCAGAAUGGUGAAAAAAAGGCAUGCUGAUGGUAAAUAGAGCCACUCUAUAAAUGUUUACUAACCCAAACACAGUGGGGAACAAUGAGGGCCUUUACGUUUUCAUCGAAAGGCCAAGGAUUUAUAAAAUAAUAAUAAUAAUAAUAAUAAUAAUAAUUAUAUUAUGUUCUGAUUUAAUAUCUUCAGUUUUUGUUAGAAAGGAAAAAGUUAACACUGAAGAGAAAAAAAGAUCCAAUCAGAAUGUUUCUUUGGUGGUCUCUUGGGAGAUGCAUCUAACUAGCCAAGUCAGCCGUUGGCUAGGCCAUCAGAAGCUUGCUAGAAGGCAUUUGCCAUUCAACUGUAUUAGGGCACAAUUUUGGAGUGACAGUGGAAUCAACCAAUCACAUUGACUUGUAAUGGCCAACAGGUUGAAGGCCAACGGGUCACUGUGCAAUAGUGAGCAGUAGUUUUCCCACAGUCUAGCUAGCUUUUGAUGUAGGCUAGUUUGCAGCAGCUGCAGCAGGUGUUAUCAAUGAGGAUGUUCUUGCUAUUUUGUUAGAUUCUCCCUUUUCAAGAAUAACUUACAACAUGAAGUUACGUUUCAAAUGAUCGGAGUGGAACUUUGUUUGUUACUGCAGCUCGCAUGCUAUCUCUUUGAAAAUCCAUCUCUUUGAAAAUAACUUGUGUGAAACAUUGUUGCAUUUAAUCUUUAGAUCACUGGUUACUUUGCGUGUAAUAGCUGUACAUUUCGAUUGGGAAAAUGCUUAGCCUAAUGAUUGUGUUUUUGUAUUCUUAUGAUUGGGACCUACUGGCUUAUGUCCGAGUGAAUGGACUGCUGUCUUUCCAUCGGCCCUAUGCACCGGUGUAGCGGUCCCUGGAGAAGUGGGUCCUGUGUGAAGGAAAGGCACCCUUGCAAAAAAGCCUAUGUUUUCCUAUAGCUUUUUCAGAUUUUCACUCACAAUUACACUUUUUAAUUAAAAAAAAUAUUGAAAAAAAAUGUGAUGUUCUAAGUCCAUAACAAUGUUAAACUACAUCAGACCAUUUUAGAGGUCUGGGAAAAAUAAAAAUAAAUAUAUUUUUGGUGGUUGCAGUUAUUUUUCAAUGAAUGUAAAGGACAGUAAUGUUAAGAGUAAAGCAGGAAUCCCAGGUUUUAAUAGGCGAUAAGAUAUUUAUGUUUCAAGAAAUGAGUGUAGCCUAUAUAUUCGGCCUGGCGAAGCGCUUUUAUGCACUGACUGAAUGGAAGCUGAUAAUUAUGAGUUUUUUUACUCCGCUGGUCUCAGGAAGAAAUUAUGAGUCAAGACCAAGUAAAAAUGUAUCAGACUCCAAGACAAGACUGAGACACUCAAUAUGUGGUCUCGAGACCAGACAACACUGACAUAUGGACAAGUGAAUAUAAAAUGUACAAAAACAUCUUGUGCUGCCAAGUUCCUUUAGAGUUUUUCGUUCUUAGUUAGUUAUUUAUGCUUCAUGUUUCCUGUGGUCGGCUGUACAAAGCUGGCCAAAAAUCUGC
This 2082-nucleotide long non-coding RNA is filed under the name Salmo salar (Atlantic salmon). RNAcentral's name for it is "lncRNA (ENSSSAG00000121728.1)". Lineage: Eukaryota; Metazoa; Chordata; Actinopteri; Salmoniformes; Salmonidae. The record is from RNAcentral.